UAAGCGUGCGCAGGCGGUUUUGUAAGUCUGACGUGAAAUCCCCGGGCUCAACCUGGGAAUUGCGUUGGAGACUGCAAGGCUAGAAUCUGGCAGAGGGGGGUAGAAUUCCACGUGUAGCAGUGAAAUGCGUAGAGAUGUGGAGGAACACCGAUGGCGAAGGCAGCCCCCUGGGUCAAGAUUGACGCUCAUGCACGAAAGCGUGGGGAGCAAACAGGAUUAGAUACCCCUGU
RNAcentral lists this ribosomal RNA (230 nucleotides) under uncultured bacterium. Its description in RNAcentral is "partial 16S ribosomal RNA". It matches the Rfam family "Bacterial small subunit ribosomal RNA", at positions 563 to 791 of the family's 1533-position model. The record is from RNAcentral.